This 406-nucleotide ribosomal RNA is filed under the name uncultured bacterium. RNAcentral's name for it is "partial 16S ribosomal RNA". It matches the Rfam family "Bacterial small subunit ribosomal RNA", at positions 30 to 526 of the family's 1533-position model. The record is from RNAcentral.
AUCGAACGCUGGCGGCAGGCCUAACACAUGCAAGUCGAGCGAGCGGCGGACGGGUGAGUAAUGUCUGGGAAACUGCCUGAUGGAGGGGGAUAACUACUGGAAACGGUAGCUAAUACCGCAUACCAUCAGAUGUGCCCCGAUGGGAUUAGCUAGUGGGUGGGGUAACGGCUCACAUUGGCGACGAUCCCUAGCUGGUCUGAGAGGAUGACCAGCCACACGGGAACUGAUACACGGUCAGAACUCCUACGGGAGGAAGCGGUGGGAAUCAUUGCACAAUGGUGUAAAGCCGGAUGCAGCCAGGCCGCGGAUGUGAAGCAGGCCUUCGGGUUUUAAAGCACGUUCAGCGGGGAGACGUUACCCGCAGAAGAAGCACCGGCUAACUCCGUGCCAGCAGCCGCGGUAAUAC